Molecule: unclassified non-coding RNA, 332 nt
Filed under: fungal sp.
Lineage: Eukaryota; Fungi
Description: partial internal transcribed spacer region
Rfam family: Eukaryotic small subunit ribosomal RNA (bases 1-46)
Source: RNAcentral
AAGUCGUAACAAGGUUUCCGUAGGUGAACCUGCGGAAGGAUCAUUAACACUUUUUCCCUUUCCCUAACCUGGAGUGGGAGUUUGGCAGAAAGACCUUUUUAUCGGGGUUUUCUUUGCUAAGCUUCUCUUCAGACCACCCCUUUGUGUGCACUUGUUGAGAGGGAGAAGCCAGAAGCUUUAUUGUCUUUUGGUAGAUCUCUCUUACUAUUUUUCCAUUUUUUCUUUUUUUUACCCCUUUUUUAAUGCGAUAGACUGAAAUAAUGACCUAUUGGAAGGGUCUGAAACCUCCAAAAAUUGUAAUACAACUCUUAGCAACGGAUAUCUAGGCUCUC